Molecule: ribosomal RNA, 253 nt
Filed under: uncultured bacterium
Lineage: Bacteria
Description: partial 16S ribosomal RNA
Rfam family: Bacterial small subunit ribosomal RNA
Source: RNAcentral
UACGAAGGGUGCAAGCGUUGUUCGGAUUUAUUGGGCGUAAAGCGCGCGCAGGCGGAUCAGCAAGUCAGAUGUGAAAUCUCAGGGCUCAACCCUGAAACUGCGUCUGAAACUGCUAGUCUAGAAUAUUGGAGGGGGCAGGGGAAUUUCACGUGUAGGGGUAAAAUCCGUAGAGAUGUGAAGGAACACCGGAGGCGAAGGCGCCUGCCUGGACAAUACUUGACGCUGAGGCGCGAAAGCGUGGGGAGCAAACAGG